This 315-nucleotide long non-coding RNA is filed under the name Homo sapiens (human). RNAcentral's name for it is "HSALNT0122150". Lineage: Eukaryota; Metazoa; Chordata; Mammalia; Primates; Hominidae. The record is from RNAcentral.
GGACACAAUCGUGGCUGCAGCCACAGGCUUUGGGGCUGACGAGAGAUCUGUGUCUUGUAGGGGCAGAGGCGGUGUCAUAGCGGAGUCCUGGGGUAAGGUGAGGCCCUCUUCAGCCUGCUGGGACACAAGCGUGGCUGCAGCCACAGGCUUUGGGGCUGACGAGAGUUCUGUGUCUUGUAGGGGCAGAGGCGGUGUCAUAACGGAGUCCUGGGGUAAGGUGAGGUCCUCUUUAGCCUGCCUGGGGACAAUCGUGGCUGCAGCUACAGGCUUUCUGCCAGAGGGGAGGUCCAGCCCUCCUUCUUCCUUCAAGUUCUG